UAGGGAAUAUUGGACAAUGGGGGGAACCCUGAUCCAGCCAUGCCGCGUGGAGGAAGACUGCCCUCUGGGUUGUAAACUCCUUUUAUAUGGGAAGAACCGUCCUCAUUGAUGAGUGACCUGACGGUACCAUAGGAAUAAGCACCGGCUAACUCCGUGCCAGCAGCCGCGGUAAUACGGAGGGUGCAAGCGUUAUCCGGAUUCACUGGGUUUAAAGGGUGCGUAGGCGGAUAUGUAAGUCAGUGGUGAAAUCAACGGGCUCAACCUGUUAACUGCCAUUGAUACUGUGUAUCUUGAAUAUGAGAGAGGUAGGCGGAAUGUUGCAUGUAGCGUUGAAAUGCUUAGAUAUGCUACGGAACACCGAUUGCGAAGGCAGCUUACUAUUUCGUAAUUGACGCUGAGGCACGAAAGCGUGGGUAGCGAACA
RNAcentral lists this ribosomal RNA (423 nucleotides) under uncultured bacterium. RNAcentral describes it as "bacterial SSU rRNA". It matches the Rfam family "Bacterial small subunit ribosomal RNA", at positions 355 to 774 of the family's 1533-position model. The record is from RNAcentral.